This is a long non-coding RNA of Rhincodon typus (whale shark), 722 nucleotides long. RefSeq lists it as uncharacterized. The record is from RefSeq and is a predicted model, not a curated record. The transcript is spliced from 3 exons. NCBI's taxonomy places the organism in Eukaryota, Metazoa, Chordata, Chondrichthyes, Orectolobiformes, Rhincodontidae.
AACACAUUCCUCUCCCAGCCGCACCGCACAGUAUCCCUCGCACAGAGAUUGGCGAACAAACCACAGCGGGCACUGAAGGCAACUGGGGCGACUCCCCUCAACCUCCAUACUGCGCCAAGGACCAACAAAAUCCAGAGCGAAAGAAUUUCCCACUCUGGCUCCGACUCCAAUGCUUUGCAGCAAUUCCCGAACUUCUGAAGUAUUUAAUUGCGGUGAAUUGGCACAGAGUUCGGUGCAUCGGGAACGCGGAUGUGACUUCGUGCAGAUAGGCCCUCACCAGUUUCGGUGGUUUUAGGGGCACCGUGCGCUCCCAUAUUUAAAAGGAAAGGUAUGAGCCUGGAGACUCCCCGCUCAGCAAUCAAACCCAUUCACACACUGUCUUCAGGCAAUCUCAACUGGACUGAGGGAGCGCCGCACUGUCGGAGGGAUGCAGUUUGACCGAGUGUAUGAUGCCCCUGAGACACCUUCUCCUGAACCAGCAGCACACCGGCCUUCCCUCACCAAGGUCAGUACGCUGGACCGGCUCAUCUUCACCCAUUCCGUGUGGCUACAGCUCAGCAUGAACUCCGCCACUUCGCUCCACAUUCUGCAGCGGGAGAGCCCAGGGAUCUUUCUGGUUCGCCAAUCCGCCACAUCUCAGAAGAAGCUACUAUCAGUACGACUGUCUGACAACUGUGAUCCCUCCUUUGUCCAUGACUUCAUCAUCAACGAGGACCCCAGCA